Molecule: ribosomal RNA, 573 nt
Filed under: Triticum aestivum (bread wheat)
Lineage: Eukaryota; Viridiplantae; Streptophyta; Magnoliopsida; Poales; Poaceae
Description: partial small subunit ribosomal RNA
Source: RNAcentral
AUGGCUGUGUGCCUUGCUCAAUGCAGAGGCCGAGGGUUAUCCUCCUUUUCGAAAAAAUAUAAGCCUGCCAUGGUAGCGAUUUUGGCCCAUCCCAAAAACCACAGCCAUGGCAGCCCUUUCUGCUGUGCAAGCAGGAGCUACGUGCACCAGGCUGCCCCUUUAGUUAACUCUUGCCGAGUGGACAUGGUCUGUGCAGUCCCGGUUGACUUUGAGAGAUGCCUAUCACUAGCUCAGGACGUGGAGAGCUACGGGUUAUUUCCCUUUCUGAUGAAAAAAGGGGAAGAAAGAGCAGAAAAGCUACAAUAUUACGCAGCACAAAAUUCAGUGUCUUGCUUGCUCGUAGUUCAGAGUAAGAAUUGGCAUCAGAGCUUGACCCGGUGGCCAUGUCAAGUGGUGGAGAGCAGCCGGUGCGGUGUGCCUCGCACGGCUCCAAGAAGCCAUCUGCGCAGCGGCAGCAACAACAACGCUCGCCAAUCCGAGGGUGCAGUAAGGCACGAUGAUGCGCGGGUGGCGAGAUCGUGGUUCAGCAGGUGGUGCGCGAGAGCAGCACCAACCUCUCCUUCCCGAUGCUGA